UGAGGAAUAUUGCGCAAUGGGGGAAACCCUGACGCAGCAACGCCGCGUGAGUGAGGAAGGUUUUCGGAUCGUAAAGCUCUGUCGGGUGGGAAGAAAUGUAUGGAGGUUAAUAGCCUUUGUACUUGACGGUACCGCCAAAGGAAGCACCGGCUAACUCCGUGCCAGCAGCCGCGGUAAUACGGGGGGUGCAAGCGUUGUUCGGAAUCAUUGGGCGUAAAGAGCGUGUAGGCGGCUGAGCAAGUCAGAUGUGAAAUCCCUGGGCUUAACCCAGGAAGUGCAUUUGAAACUGUUCAGCUUGAGUAAGGAAGAGGGAAGUGGAAUUCCUGGUGUAGAGGUGAAAUUCGUAGAUAUCAGGAGGAACACCGGUGGCGAAGGCGACUUCCUGGUCCUAUACUGACGCUGAGACGCGAGAGCGUGGGGAGCAAACAGG
RNAcentral lists this ribosomal RNA (430 nucleotides) under uncultured bacterium. Its description in RNAcentral is "bacterial SSU rRNA". It matches the Rfam family "Bacterial small subunit ribosomal RNA", at positions 355 to 776 of the family's 1533-position model. The record is from RNAcentral. RNAcentral also lists the same sequence under 2 other names.